UGGGGGAUAUUGCACAAUGGGCGAAAGCCUGAUGCAGCGACGCCGCGUGGGGGAUGAAGGCCUUCGGGUUGUAAACUUCUUUUGCUCUGAACAAGGCGCACCAUGGGGUGUGUUGAGUGUAGGGGUUGAUAGCGCCGGCUAACUACGUGCCAGCAGCCGCGGUAAUACGUAGGGCGCGAGCGUUGUCCGGAAUUAUUGGGCGUAAAGGGCUUGUAGGUGGCUGGUUGCGUCUGUCGUGAAAGCUCAUGGCUUAACUGUGGGUUUGCGGUGGGUACGGGCUGGCUUGAGUGCAGUAGGGGAGGCUGGAAUUCCUGGUGUAGCGGUGGAAUGCGCAGAUAUCAGGAGGAAUACCGGUGGCGAAGGCGGGUCUCUGGGCUGUUACUGACACUGAGGAGCGAAAGCAUGGGGAGCGAACAGG
RNAcentral lists this ribosomal RNA (418 nucleotides) under bacterium. RNAcentral's name for it is "partial 16S ribosomal RNA". It matches the Rfam family "Bacterial small subunit ribosomal RNA", at positions 355 to 776 of the family's 1533-position model. The record is from RNAcentral.